This 74-nucleotide transfer RNA is filed under the name Dehalococcoidales bacterium. Its description in RNAcentral is "tRNA-Val". It matches the Rfam family "tRNA". Rfam says of the family: Transfer RNA (tRNA) molecules are approximately 80 nucleotides in length. Their secondary structure includes four short double-helical elements and three loops (D, anti-codon, and T loops). Lineage: Bacteria; Bacillati; Chloroflexota; Dehalococcoidia; Dehalococcoidales. The record is from RNAcentral.
GGGCGGUUAGCUCAGCUGGUUAGAGCGCAUGCUUUACACGCAUGAGGUCACAGGUUCGAUCCCUGUACCGCCCA